CUGCAUUUGAAGAUGAAAUUACAAGAGAUUUAAAACACACAGGGGCCGGAAUCCUUUCAAUGGCAAACAGUUUACUACCUCUAGAUAUUAUUUAAUUCAAGUCAGUUGCCAUCUUAAGGCAUGACAUCUCAAAUAACACAUUGCCACCUCAAGUAGUGGUCCAAACACAAAUGGAAGCUAGUUUUUUAUCACCUUAGCUCCAACACAGUGGCUUGAUGGUAAACAUACCAUAUUUGGUUGCAUCAGCGAUGGGAUCGGUGUUGUGAAGAGGAUAGGAUUAGUGGAGACAGACCCAGGUGAUAGGCCACUUCAUGAUGUUUACAUUUUAAAUGGGAAAGCAGCACCAAAACGCACAUAUCAUAUUGUUUGAAGUCAUUGAACCAUCCAUUAAUGUGCCAAAUGAAGACUACAAACCUCUCAGACUGUAUGGAUAUCCAUAAUAACAUUACAUCAAACUGCGUCAGAUAUUUACAUGUAACUGGUUUUUGUUGUAACAUGAGCUGAAUGACAAUACAAUACAGUACAAUAAUAUAUUCUUUAGCUAACGAAAGUGACGUAAUUAAACCAAUGAGUUAUCUAACUUUCGGCCUUCACAACAAACCCACCAUCCCACCCCAGGGGAGGACAUCCAUCACACAG
Stylophora pistillata is the source of this 639-nucleotide long non-coding RNA. NCBI's taxonomy places the organism in Eukaryota, Metazoa, Cnidaria, Anthozoa, Scleractinia, Pocilloporidae. The record is from RefSeq and is a predicted model, not a curated record.